This 253-nucleotide ribosomal RNA is filed under the name uncultured bacterium. Its description in RNAcentral is "partial 16S ribosomal RNA". It matches the Rfam family "Bacterial small subunit ribosomal RNA", at positions 524 to 776 of the family's 1533-position model. The record is from RNAcentral.
UACAGAGACCGCAAGCGUUGUUCGGAUUUACUGGGCGUAAAGCGCACGUAGGCGGGUCCGUAAGUCUGUGGUGAAAUCCCCCGGCUCAACCGGGGAACUGCCUCAGAUACUGCGGGUCUUGAGGACGGGAGGGGAGAGUGGAACUUCCAGUGGAGCGGUGAAAUGCGUAGAUAUUGGAAGGAACACCGGUGGCGAAAGCGACUCUCUGGUCCGUCUCUGACGCUGAGGUGCGAAAGCUAGGGUAGCAAACGGG